Cinara cedri is the source of this 379-nucleotide non-coding RNA. Lineage: Eukaryota; Metazoa; Arthropoda; Insecta; Hemiptera; Aphididae. The record is from the annotation of a GenBank genome assembly.
CACUCCAGCCACUGGAUUCAUAUGCGAACACCGUUCGAGCACAAGGAUCAUACCGACUGCUGAACGUGACAGUUGCUGUUGUAUACGACGUGUAAAAAUAUUAUGUGAUCACUGAUGAAUGAUAACGUUUGAACAUUUACAAAAAGAAAGUGUGGUCAGUAUUGCCUUCGACGGUCGGCCGUUGUUCACCUAUUUUGUAUACUAAUUAUACAAUAUAUCACACGGACGCCCAGAUACCGGGCAGUGACGUGAUUUUUCAGGUCCACGUUAGCGUCAAGGGAGUGUCAUAUUGAGACUACACUCGAGUAGGUCACAGUGCGGUUUUAUCCACGUUCUUUUGAAAAGUUAGACGUGUUCAUUUUGGUAUCACCGUGUUUUU